AGCGAACGCUGGCGGCAGGCUUAACACAUGCAAGUCGAGCGGGCAUCCUUGUGGUGUCAGCGGCAGACGGGUGAGUAACGCGUGGGAACGUGCCCUUCGGUUCGGAAUAACUCAGGGAAACUUGAGCUAAUACCGGAUACGUGCGAGAGCAGAAAGGUUUAUCUGCCGAAGGAUCGGCCCGCGUCUGAUUAGCUAGUUGGUGAGGUUACGGCUCACCAAGGCGACGAUCAGUAGCUGGUCUGAGAGGAUGAUCAGCCACACUGGGACUGAGACACGGCCCAGACUCCUACGGGGGGCAGCAGUGGGGAAAAUUGGACGAUGGGGGAAACCCUGAUCCAGCCAUGCGGCGUGAGUGAUGACGGCUUUAGGGUUGUAAAGCUCUUUUCUCCGGGACAAUAAUGGCGGUGCCGGAGGAAUAAGCCCCGGCUAACUUC
RNAcentral lists this ribosomal RNA (434 nucleotides) under uncultured bacterium. RNAcentral's name for it is "partial 16S ribosomal RNA". It matches the Rfam family "Bacterial small subunit ribosomal RNA", at positions 29 to 504 of the family's 1533-position model. The record is from RNAcentral.